GACGAACGCUGGCGGCGUGCCUAAUACAUGCAAGUCGAGCGGAACUGGGGGGAGCUUGCUCCUUCCAGUUUAGCGGCGGACGGGUGAGUAACACGUGGGCAGCCUGCCCUGCAGAUCGGGAUAACUCCGGGAAACCGGUGCUAAUACCGAAUAGUUUGGCGCCUCUCCUGAGGCGCUACGGAAAGACGGUUUCGGCUGUCACUGCAGGAUGGGCCCGCGGCGCAUUAGCUAGUUGGUGGGGUAACGGCCCACCAAGGCGACGAUGCGUAGCCGACCUGAGAGGGUGACCGGCCACACUGGGACUGAGACACGGCCCAGACUCCUACGGGAGGCAGCAGUAGGGAAUCUUCCGCAAUGGACGCAAGUCUGACGGAGCAACGCCGCGUGAGUGACGAAGGUUUUCGGAUCGUAAAACUCUGUUGUGAGGGAAGAACACGUACCAACUAACUAUUGGUACCUUGACGGUACCUCACCAGAAAGCCACGGCUAACUACGUGCCAGCCGCCGCGGUAA
Molecule: ribosomal RNA, 513 nt
Filed under: uncultured bacterium
Lineage: Bacteria
Description: partial 16S ribosomal RNA
Rfam family: Bacterial small subunit ribosomal RNA
Source: RNAcentral